Molecule: ribosomal RNA, 497 nt
Filed under: uncultured bacterium
Lineage: Bacteria
Description: partial 16S ribosomal RNA
Rfam family: Bacterial small subunit ribosomal RNA
Source: RNAcentral
GAUGAACGCUGGCGGCGUGCCUAAUACAUGCAAGUCGAGCGAACGGACGAGAAGCUUGCUUCUCUGAUGUUAGCGGCGGACGGGUGAGUAACACGUGGAUAACCUACCUAUAAGACUGGGAUAACUUCGGGAAACCGGAUCUAAUACCGGAUGAUAUUUUGAACCGCAUGGUUCAAAAGUGAAAGACGGUCUUUCUGUCACUUAUAGAUGGAUCCGCGCUGCAUUAGCUAGUUGGUAAGGUAACGGCUUACCAAGGCAACGAUGCAUAGCCGACCUGAGAGGGUGAUCGGCCACACUGGAACUGAGACACGGUCCAGACUCCUACGGGAGGCAGCAGUAGGGAAUCUUCAGCAAUGGGCGAAAGCCUGACGGAGCAACGCCGCGUGAGUGAUGAAGGUCUUCGGAUCGUAAAACUCUGUUAUUAGGGAAGAACAUAUGUGUAAGUAACUGUGCACAUAUUGACGGUACCUAAUCAGAAAGCCACGGCUAACUACGUG